AAGGAUUUAAGUUAAAAAAACUAUUAACCUUCAAAGUUGAAAAUAUACUGAUUAAAUUUAUAAGCCUUA
Molecule: transfer RNA, 69 nt
Filed under: Caliscelis shandongensis
Lineage: Eukaryota; Metazoa; Arthropoda; Insecta; Hemiptera; Caliscelidae
Also listed under: 1 other name
Description: tRNA-Trp
Source: RNAcentral